GAGCACGUGGGCACCCACGGGACCACCUUGGCCACCCACGGGACCACCUCCUCCGAGUCCAUCUUCACCUAUGGGAGCACUUCUCAGGAGCACGUGGCCACCCAUGGGACCACCUUGGCCACCCACGGGACCACGUCCUCUGAAUCCAUCUUCACCUAUGGGAGCACUUCGUACGGGCAUGGGGGCACCCAUGGGACCACCCCCUCCGAGCCCACCUUCCCCUAUGGGAGCACCUCGUCCGAGCACGUGGCCACCCAUGGGACCACCUCCCCUGAGCCCAUCUUCAUGUACGGGACCACCCCACACGAGCCCGUGGCCACCCAUGGGACCACCACCUCCGAGCCCACCCCCACGUCCAGGAGCACCCCACACGAGCCCACCCACGGGACCGUCUCGCCCCGCUCCAUGCCCAUGGGUGGGGGCAUCUCCUGUGAGCACCCAGCACCCGCUGGGACCGCGUCGCCCAUGGGUGGCUGCUUCUCCUACAAGGAGGUGGCCCUGGGUGCAGGAUUCUGGCAGGAGCCCCGUGGGUGCGGGGCCGUGGGCAGGAGCAUCUCGCACGAGCACGCGCCCACCUUCGGGACCAUCGCGCCCAAAUCCGUGCCCACCCAUGGGACCACGUCAUGGGCGCGCGUCCCAGCGGAUGGAAGCACCUGGAGCAAGCCCGCGCCCCCAGCCGGGACCACGUUGAGCAAGGCCUCGCCCGUGGGUGACACCAACGUGUGGGAGCGUGGCCCAGGCGGGAACACCCCGACCGUGGCGUGGGAGCCUCCUCCAGCGGGUGGCACCGCGGUGACCAAGGCCAUGCCCAAGGACGACGCCGGCUCAUGGGAGCGCGUCCCAACCCAUGGCACCGCCUGCGCCAAGUCAGUGCCCGCGGAUGGCGCCAUGGCAUGGGGGCACGUCCCAGCCGAUGGCACCACCUUGACCACGUCCAUGCCCACGGGUGGCACCAUCUCCACCAAAUCCACGCCGAUGGACGGCACCACGGUGACCGAGCCUGUUCCCAAGGAGGACACCAGCCCGUGGGAGCACGUCCCAACCGAUGGGACCAUGUUGACCAAGUCAACGCCCACAGAUGGGAACACCUCAACCAAGGCCGUACCCAUGGGUGGCACAAUCUCGUGGGAGCACGACCCAACCCGUGGGACCACCUUGACCACGUCCGUGGCCGUGGAUUGGAGAACCUGGCCUGAUUCCACCCCCACGGACGGAAGCGUCUCACCCAAGCCCAUGGACGGGACCUCCUGGCCCAACCCCGUGGCCGUGGACGGGGCCUUCUCCCCCAAGCCCGUGGAUGCGACCGCCUCACCCAAGCCCACCCCCGCGGAUGCCACCACCCCCCGGGCCCCCGCGCCCACCGCUGCCACCAUCUCACCCCGUCCCCCGGUCCCCAAACGGAGCGAGGAGGAGGAAGAGGAGGAGGAAGAGGAGGAGGAGGA
RNAcentral lists this long non-coding RNA (1442 nucleotides) under Cairina moschata (Muscovy duck). RNAcentral describes it as "domestica (muscovy Duck (domestic type)) lncRNA (ENSCMMG00000012417.1)". Lineage: Eukaryota; Metazoa; Chordata; Aves; Anseriformes; Anatidae. The record is from RNAcentral.